AAGUGGGGAUGACGUCAAGUCAUCAUGGCCCUUAUGUCCAGGGCGACACACGUGCUACAAUGGCCGGCACACGGGAAGCGAGUUCGCGAGGACAAGCGGAUCCCUUAAAGCCGGUCGCAGUUCGGAUUGAAGUCUGCAACUCGACUUCAUGAAGCUGGAAUCGCUAGUAAUCGUGGAUCAGCCAAGCCGCGGUGAAUACGUUCCCGGGCCUU
RNAcentral lists this ribosomal RNA (212 nucleotides) under uncultured Synergistaceae bacterium. RNAcentral's name for it is "partial 16S ribosomal RNA". It matches the Rfam family "Bacterial small subunit ribosomal RNA", at positions 1171 to 1382 of the family's 1533-position model. Lineage: Bacteria; Thermotogati; Synergistota; Synergistia; Synergistales; Synergistaceae. The record is from RNAcentral.